UUCCAGGAAACAGGAAGGCUACAGGAGGUUAGAGUUGGCUAUCUACCUUUUCCUCAGGACAGAAAAAGCUCUGCUGCUCCAGGAAAAGAAAUGCCACAGCAGGAAUUCCGGGUUGUGAAGGGAACAUGUGUGGGCCACACCAAGAGCAUGGAGCAGCUCUUUUCUAAGUUCUCAAAAGAAACGAAAAUCAGUAACUACAGGACAGCAAGAUUUCUAGGAGUAAACACACUGACAGCAAAAAGAGAAGAAAGAGAAGAAAAAAAAGGCAAAGAAGGCUUGUAAUUUAGAGCAUCACCUAUUUCUCCCAAAGGAUCUGAUGUUCCCAGCAUCUAAUUCUGAAGGUAUUAAAGAGC
This is a long non-coding RNA of Lemur catta (Ring-tailed lemur), 353 nucleotides long. RefSeq lists it as uncharacterized. NCBI's taxonomy places the organism in Eukaryota, Metazoa, Chordata, Mammalia, Primates, Lemuridae. The transcript has 3 exons. The record is from RefSeq and is a predicted model, not a curated record.